Phoenix dactylifera (date palm) is the source of this 1766-nucleotide RNA transcript. RefSeq lists it as uncharacterized. The record is from RefSeq and is a predicted model, not a curated record. NCBI's taxonomy places the organism in Eukaryota, Viridiplantae, Streptophyta, Magnoliopsida, Arecales, Arecaceae.
CAAACCGUUAUGAAAACCAAAAAAUCGUUCUUUUCUCCUUAUCCUAUCUACGAGAGCCUCGUUUGACCUCUGUCCUCCCAAUUCGUUACCCUAACCUUCGAAUUUGCCCUCUCAGAAACCCUAACCCAAGAAUCCAUCUCCGCCUCCUCCAUCGGCCGCCAAGAUGCCGGCGACGGCGGGAAGGGUGCGGAUGCCGGCGAACAACCGGGUCCACAGCAGCGCUGCUCUCCAGACCCACGGGAUCUGGCAGAGCGCCAUCGGCUACGACCCCUACGCUCCCACCAACAAGGACAAGGACGAGUCCAAGGGCGGCGCCGACCACUCCGGCAAGGCCGACGACGACGGCGACGACGGCGCUGAGAACGCCUACGCCAGCUUCCAGGGCCUCCUCGCCCUCGCCCGCAUCACUGGGUCCAACUCCGACGAGACACGCGGCGCCUGCAAGAAGUGCGGCCGUGUAGGCCACCUCACAUUCCAGUGUCGCAACUUCCUCAGCGUCAAGGAUGACAAGGACAAGGACGCCGAAGCCCUCCAGACCGCCACAGCCGUCUUCGAGAAGAUCAAGAAGGCCGCCGGGAAGAAGGGUGAGGGGGAGGAGAGCGAGGAGGAGGACGACGAAGAAGAGGAGAGUGAGAGCUCGGAUUCUGAUGUGGAUCCGGAGAUUGAAAAGAUCAUUGCCAAGAGAUUCGGAAGGAAGAAAUCUUCUUCCACGAAGAGAUCGCUGGCGGAGCAGGACUCAGGAGAGGAUAAGAAGGGGAGUCGGAGGAGGAGAGGGCGGUCAAAGAAGAGGAGCGGGAAGAGGUCGAUACGGAGUGAAGAGACUGAUAGCGAGGUGGAGGAUGGGAGGAGGGAGAAGAGGAGGCGGCAGCGUAGGGGUUUGGAUGAUGAUGAGGAAGAGGAGGAUGGGGGUCAUAGGCACAGGAAGAGUAGGAAGGAGAAGAAGAGGCGUAGAAGCCAUCAUAAGAGGGAUGAGUCUGAUGAUGAGUCAUCAGAAGAGUCUGAUGGGAAUUGCCGCCUUAAACGAAGGCAUGGAAGGAAGUACGUGUCUGAGAGUCACUUAGAUGGUAGUGAUGGAUCACUGGAUGAUCGGAAGAGGUCCAGCAGGCACCACGAGGGCCGGAGGAAGAGGAGGGCUGCUUCCUCUGAAAGUAGUGAAUCGGAUGAUGAAGACUCUCGUGGAAGAAAGGGGAAGAAGCGGUCUGAGGGCAGGAGCAGGAACCAUAGGCAUAAAGAGAAGAAUUGAACAAGGCAAUGGUAAUUACCUUGUGUCAUUGAUGCAACCUUUCCAUUGCUAGUGAUGCAGACUGUCUACUAUCUUCAAGAUUACAUUGUUGGACGAUACUGUUUACUAUGAUUUCCAGUAUGCUUGGAGGUUACUAAAUGUAUUGUGAUGGUUAACGUAAUCUGCUCAUGCUGAACCUUGCUAUUGUCUACCCUGGUGAUGAAUUAUCAGGGACGUCUGUAAAGUUCCACUCGGGCGAAGAUAUUCCUAGGCUGAUAGUUCCUGUUUAUCUCAUAGGGAUUUGCAGCUCUAGCUUCGAAAAAGAAUUUGUAGCUAUGCUUUGCAUAAGUGGGAACAAAAGAUGUGGACGUACCUGUUGCAUAUAGCCAGGUACCUCUGGCAGCCUGAUCAUAUAUUUGUGAUGAGAUACCCCAGGAAACCUUUUUCAAUUUGUUGCCUGUGUGAUUUAUAUGAUGUAAUUCGACUUUCCUGUUUGACAUCUUUUUAAAAUGUUUUAAUUGACAUUACUGCUGCCGUUUCUCAU